This is a non-coding RNA of Paramuricea clavata, 517 nucleotides long. Lineage: Eukaryota; Metazoa; Cnidaria; Anthozoa; Malacalcyonacea; Plexauridae. The record is from the annotation of a GenBank genome assembly.
AAAAACAAUGAAAUUUGAAGUAAGACUAAAUCUAUGAACAAGUUUAAUAAAGAUUUACAUAGUCAAAACAAAAAUAUUGAAAAAAAAAUGAAGAGAUUACCAUAAAAACGCGUCUCAAACACUGAAAUUCAUUUUUCGCCGUAUAAAAAUAUAGCAGAAUGAUUUGUUUGUUGCAUAAUAAGCCUCGUUUUCGUGCAGUUGAAGGCGCGGUCACUAAGUUUCGCAAUUGGUCUAUACGAGAGAACUUUUAGGGUAAUUUUUUAUGACUAACUUUUAACAUUUAUAUACUUUUUAAGAAUAUGUACAAAUAUUUUUAUAAAUUGCAUUAUUAUGGAAAAUACAAGCAUUGAAACUUAAUAUGUUUCACCUGGAUACGUGUGAACGACGAUAAAUAAAAUAUUAGAUAAACUCAUUAACCAACCAGUUCUUCUGUAAGUAAAUGGAGUUCGCGUCGCUUGUCGCUCAUAUAAAAUUAGAAAACGUAUUGCCCUAUUUUGUUCACAAGAAAGUACUUGAG